CCUACGGGAGGCUGCAGUGAGGAAUAUUGGUCAAUGGACGCAAGUCUGAACCAGCCAUGCCGCGUGCAGGAAGACGGCUCUAUGAGUUGUAAACUGCUUUUAUACGGGAAUAACGCGCCUUACGUGUAGGGCUUUGCAUGUACCGUAUGAAUAAGGACCGGCUAAUUCCGUGCCAGCAGCCGCGGUAAUACGGAAGGUCCGGGCGUUAUCCGGAUUUAUUGGGUUUAAAGGGAGCGUAGGCCGCAUGUCAAGCGUGCUGUGAAAUGUCCGGGCUCAACCCGGGCCUUGCAGCGCGAACUGGCGGGCUUGAGUCCGCGGAAGGCAGGCGGAAUUCGUCGUGUAGCGGUGAAAUGCUUAGAUAUGACGAAGAACCCCGAUUGCGAAGGCAGCUUGCUGCAGCGGAACUGACGCUGAUGCUCGAAAGCGCGGGUAUCGAACAGGAUUAGAUACCCCGGUAGUC
This 460-nucleotide ribosomal RNA is filed under the name uncultured bacterium. RNAcentral's name for it is "partial 16S ribosomal RNA". It matches the Rfam family "Bacterial small subunit ribosomal RNA", at positions 338 to 795 of the family's 1533-position model. The record is from RNAcentral.